Molecule: long non-coding RNA, 609 nt
Organism: Oncorhynchus tshawytscha (Chinook salmon)
Lineage: Eukaryota; Metazoa; Chordata; Actinopteri; Salmoniformes; Salmonidae
Source: Ensembl
GUUGUCUUAGGUCUCUCUUUAUGUAGUGUUGUGGUGUCUCUCUUUAUGUAGUGUUGUGUUGUCUUAGGUCUCUCUUUAUGUAGUGUUGUCUUAGGUCUCUCUUUAUGUAGUGUUGUGGUGUCUUUAUGUAGUAUUGUGGUGUCUUAGGUCUCUCUUUAUGUAGUGCUGUGUUGUCUUUGUGUUGUGGUGUCUUAGGUCUCUCUUUAUGUAGUGUUGUGUUGUCUUUAUGUAGUGUUGUGGUGUCUUAGGUCUCUCUUUAUGUAGUGUUGUGGUGUCUCUCUUUAUGUAGUGUUGUGUUGUCUUAGGUCUCUCUUUAUGUAGUGUUGUGUUGUCUUAGGUCUCUCUUUAUGUAGUGUUGUCUUAGGUCUCUCUUUAUGUAGUGUUGUGUUGUCUUAGGUCUCUCUUUAUGUAGUGUUGUGGUGUCUCUCUUUAUGUAGUGUUGUGUUGUCUUAGGUCUCUCUUUAUGUAGUGUUGUGUUGUCUUAGGUCUCUCUUUAUCUAGUGUUGUGUUGUCUUUAUGUAGUGUUGUGUUGUCUUAGGUCUCUCUUUAUGUAGUGUUGUGUUGUCUUAGGUCUCUCUUUAUGUAGUGUGGUGUUGUCUUAGGUCUCUC